This is a non-coding RNA of Chionomys nivalis (European snow vole), 529 nucleotides long. The record is from the annotation of a RefSeq genome assembly. NCBI's taxonomy places the organism in Eukaryota, Metazoa, Chordata, Mammalia, Rodentia, Cricetidae.
CACACACUGGAUUCCCAAGUCCUUCCAGUCAGGGUUCAACACUGAACACAGGACACUUACCAUGGACUUAAGGCCCAUAUUAAUUUCCUUUAUUCUUAUUUUAAAAGGUGUCCAGUGUGAAGUGCAGUUGCUGGAGUCUGGGGGAGACUUAGUGCAGCCUGGAAAGUCCCUGAAACUCUCCUGUGCAGCCUCUGGAUUCACCUUCAGUAGCUACUGGAUGAGCUGGGUCCGCCAGGCUCCAGAGAAGGGGCUGGAGUGGGUCGCAACCAUACGUUACGAUGGUGGUAGCACCUACUAUACUGACGCUGUGAAGGGCCGGUUCACAAUCUCCAGAGACAAUGCCAAGAACACUCUGUACCUGGAAAUGAGCAGUCUGAGAUCUGAGGACACAGCCAUGUAUUACUGUGCAAGAGACACAGUGUGCGAGUUGAACAUGAGUAGUGAGAUUCCAGCACAUGCUGUGAUUCAACUACACAGUAGUCUUGAAAAUGUCAUGGAGUCCAGACUCAGAAUAGGGAUCACCAACUGA